UAUCCGGAUUCAUUGGGUUUAAAGGUUGCGUAGGCGGAUUAGAUAGUCAAAGGUGAAGCCUGCAGCUAAACUGUAGAAGUGCCUUUGAUACUGCUAAUCUUGAGUACAGUUGAGGCGAGUGGAAUGUGUAGUGUAACGGUGAAAUGCAUAGAUACUACACAGAACACCAAUUGCGAAGGCAGCUCGCUAAGCUGUUACUGACGCUCAGGCACGAAAGCGUGGGGAGCGAACAGGAUUAGAUACCCUGGUAGUCCACGCUGUAAACUAUGAUCACUAGCUGUUGGCGGUAAAUUGUCAGUGGCUCAGCGAAAGCGUUAAGUGAUCCACCUGGGGAGUACGAUCGCAAGGUUGAAACUCAAAGGAAUUGACGGGGGCCCGCACAAGCGGUGGAACAUGUGGUUUAAUUCGAUGAUACGCGAGGAACCUUACCUGGGCUUAAAUGUAGCGCGACGUCUCGAGAAAUCGGGAUUCCCUUCGGGGCGAACUACAAGGUGCUGCAUGGUUGUCGUCAGCUCGUGCCGUGAGGUAUCGGGUUAAGUCCCAUAACGAGCGCAACCCUUAUUGUUAGUUGCCAGCGGAUAAUGCCGGGGACUCUAACAAAACUGCCCGUGUAAACGGGAGGAAGGUGGGGAUGACGUCAAAUCAGCACGGCCCUUACGUCCAGGGCUACACACGUGUUACAAUGGCUGGAACAAAGGGCAGCUACCACGCAAGUGGAUGCUAAUCUCUAAAUCCAGUCCCAGUUCGGAUCGAAGUCUGCAAUUCGACUUCGUGAAGAUGGAAUCGCUAGUAAUCGCGCAUCAGCAAUGGCGCGGUGAAUAUGUUCCCGGGCCUUGUACACACUGCCCGUCAAGCCAUGGAAGUUAGUAGUACCUGAAGUCCGUAACCGAAAGGAGCGGCCUAGGGUAAGACUAAUGACUGGGGCUA
RNAcentral lists this ribosomal RNA (927 nucleotides) under uncultured organism. RNAcentral's name for it is "bacterial SSU rRNA". It matches the Rfam family "Bacterial small subunit ribosomal RNA", at positions 542 to 1483 of the family's 1533-position model. The record is from RNAcentral.